UUGGAUUUCAUCCAAUUACUCAACAUGGCUUAUGUACUUUUCAAAAACUUAGCCCUUGCCAAAAAUCCAUUCUCGGGGAUACCCCGCGAAGGCAUCUUACCAAGACCGCCAAGGCUGUUUAUUGUCACACACACAAACACAUUUCACCUCUGAUAACACAACCGUUCCUCGGCGUUGGUUGAGUCCCAGUUUCACGUGGUGGGCAGCGUGAAGUGUACUCAAAUUCUACCUCGGGAGUUAUCCUACGCGCCUUUCCAAUCGAGGUAAGCUCAAUAAUUUGGAACCG
Molecule: long non-coding RNA, 286 nt
Filed under: Theobroma cacao (cacao)
Lineage: Eukaryota; Viridiplantae; Streptophyta; Magnoliopsida; Malvales; Malvaceae
Description: long non-coding RNA (TCAC_LNC000351)
Source: RNAcentral